This 498-nucleotide ribosomal RNA is filed under the name uncultured bacterium. Its description in RNAcentral is "partial 16S ribosomal RNA". It matches the Rfam family "Bacterial small subunit ribosomal RNA", at positions 30 to 523 of the family's 1533-position model. The record is from RNAcentral.
AUUGAACGCUGGCGGCAUGCUUUACACAUGCAAGUCGAACGGUAACAGGCCGCAAGGUGCUGACGAGUGGCGAACGGGUGAGUAAUGCAUCGGAACGUGCCCAGACGUGGGGGAUAACGCAGCGAACGCUGUGCUAUUACCGCAUACGAUCUAUGGAUGAAAGCGGGGGACCGUAAGGCCUCGCGCGAUUGGAGCGGCCGAUGUCAGUUUAGGUAGUUGGUGGGGUAAAGGCCCACCAAGCCAACGAUCUGUAGCUGGUCUGAGAGGACGACCAGCCACGCUGGGACUGAGACACGGCCCAGACUCCUACGGGAGGCAGCAGUGGGGAAUUUUGGACAAUGGGCGCAAGCCUGAUCCAGCAAUGCCGCGUGCAGGAAGAAGGCCUUCGGGUUGUAAACUGCUUUUGUACGGAACGAAAAGGUCUGGGUUAAUACCCUGGGCUGAUGACGGUACCGUAAGAAUAAGCACCGGCUAACUACGUGCCAGCCGCCGCCGUAA